UUUCGUUCAUUUAUUUUAUUAUAUUUUUUUUUUUAUAAUUGGCUAAAUGGUUUAAAGAAGACAAAAAGAUGAAAUACAAAGCAAUCUUUAACAAACAUUAGUAUAUUAUAAAUUCUAAUUCUAGCUCAUUCUGGAUAAUUCUGUUUUACACAAUCUCUAAACCAAAUUAAAAUGGCAGGUCUAAAUAUAUUGCUAUCCUUUUCACGUAACUUUUAGAAUAGGAUAGCACCAGAUUUAGACUUCUCAAAAAGGACCCGGACGGGUUCGAAAGUAGUCGGCCAUAUUCCGACUGAGCGAUUACACACUAAUCCGGUCCGAAUCCGGGAAAAUACGGAUAUAAAAACUCGGACCGACUUCGGAUAUUGCUUACGCACUAAUCCAAUCUCUGAUCCAAAUCCAAGCUACCUCUAUUCAGUGGACAUCUUUGACAUAUCUACGAGUACGUCAUAUGCCAAUUUUAAUCCGAGGCACAUCCGAGAUAUUGUCGCGGAUGACCGAUGACGGAGAGAUAUCAGAUGACGGAAGUCGGAUCUAAUGCGUAAGCUGCCCUACAAAUAGUUCUAUGGUCGGAACGUAUUUUCACGGACUCGGAUCGGAUGACUACGUAACCGCCCUAAUACGUGAAUUCAAUCGUCAGACGUCAGUAUUUUAUAAUGAAUAUUACUCACGAUAGUUCAAACACUAAAAUAUAUUUAAAUCAAUCUAAUUAAGAGAUAAUUGUAUAACAGAAUUAGCCCGAAUGUGUAUUCAUAGGUGUACCAUUUGACUGAGAUGGUUCGUAGAAUAGGAUACAGGUUGUGAGAGAGUUGCAGCAAUGUUGAAAUUUUUGAUUUUUACGACACCUGUCACCCUCAAGCAAUUAAUCAUCAUUAUUACGAUUGUUGUGAUUGGUUGAAUUUAAGUUAUUCUUGUUGCAACAAUGCAUUUUAGCCAAUAGUGAGCGAGUGUUGGCCAAUCGGAGGUGAUUGCGAUCAUCACUGUAGCUGUCAUUAUUCAAUCGAGGGGCUGGGUCCUAUCUCACGAGCUGUCUCAAUGAAACGAUACUUAUACAUAAAAUUUUAUAAAUUCUAUUUUAGCAAUAAAAUAGGCCUUUAAGUGAUUUGAUAGGCCUCAAUUCCUUAAAUAAAAAAAAUCACACAACCUAAAAAAGUUGGUCUAAACUACUUAUAACUUUAAAAAAAUGGAUGUACAUAUUUUGUUUAAGUAUGUACUGCAGGUAGUGUACGUUUAAUAAGCCCUAAUGGUUCUUUAAUAGAUGAAAACCAAUUAAAAGUUACAACGCCAUUUUUUCAUUAUUUUAACUGAAAAAUACUAAUACUUACGUAUUAAAAAAUACUAGUUCAAUUCAGUGAACAUUAUGAUAACAAAAGACAAGGGAAGACAAUUUACAAUAUUUCCAUGUAUAGAUUAUAAAAAUCGUUAAUUCAUGGAAAAACAUAAAUGCAUUAUAUUAUUUAUUCAUUC
Molecule: long non-coding RNA, 1464 nt
Organism: Maniola jurtina (meadow brown)
Lineage: Eukaryota; Metazoa; Arthropoda; Insecta; Lepidoptera; Nymphalidae
Exons: 3
Source: RefSeq, a predicted model, not a curated record